This 301-nucleotide ribosomal RNA is filed under the name uncultured bacterium. RNAcentral's name for it is "partial 16S ribosomal RNA". It matches the Rfam family "Bacterial small subunit ribosomal RNA", at positions 509 to 807 of the family's 1533-position model. The record is from RNAcentral.
CAGUCGCCGCGGUAAUACGGAGGGGGCUAGCGUUGUUCGGAAUUACUGGGCGUAAAGCGCACGCAGGCGGCUUUGUAAGUUAGAGGUGAAAGCCUGGGGCUCAACUCCAGAAUUGCCUUUAAGACUGCAUCGCUUGAACGUCGGAGAGGUGAGUGGAAUUCCGAGUGUAGAGGUGAAAUUCGUAGAUAUUCGGAAGAACACCAGUGGCGAAGGCGGCCCACUGGACGACUGUUGACGCUGAGGUGCGAAAGCGUGGGGAGCAAACAGGAUUAGAGACCCCCGUAGUCCCUGUCUCUUAUAC